This 265-nucleotide long non-coding RNA is filed under the name Monodelphis domestica (gray short-tailed opossum). RNAcentral's name for it is "lncRNA (ENSMODG00000045484.1)". Lineage: Eukaryota; Metazoa; Chordata; Mammalia; Didelphimorphia; Didelphidae. The record is from RNAcentral.
CAAAGAUGGUAAAAGGUGCCAUCAGCAACUAACACAUCCUUUCAAGGAGAGUGGUGGUAUUGAUCUUUAUUUCAGAGUUUGGGAAGAGGGGGCAAGAUAUGUGCUGGCAGAAGCAGAAAAGUUAGCUUAUAAAUUUCCCUGGAUUCUUUCAAUAUUCAAUGAAAUUGAGAGGCAGAGUCAAGAUGGCGGCAUAGAGGCAGCAAAAGUUCAGACCUCUGAAAACCCUUCCUCACCAAUUAAAAACCAAAUGCUUCUAGGGAAUUGA